This 272-nucleotide ribosomal RNA is filed under the name Escherichia coli. RNAcentral describes it as "partial 16S ribosomal RNA". It matches the Rfam family "Bacterial small subunit ribosomal RNA", at positions 1 to 269 of the family's 1533-position model. The record is from RNAcentral. Lineage: Bacteria; Pseudomonadati; Pseudomonadota; Gammaproteobacteria; Enterobacterales; Enterobacteriaceae.
AAAUUGAAGAGUUUGAUCAUGGCUCAGAUUGAACGCUGGCGGCAGGCCUAACACAUGCAAGUCGAACGGUAACAGGAAGCAGCUUGCUGUUUCGCUGACGAGUGGCGGACGGGUGAGUAAUGUCUGGGAAACUGCCUGAUGGAGGGGGAUAACUACUGGAAACGGUAGCUAAUACCGCAUAACGUCACAAGACCAAAGAGGGGGACCUUCGGGCCUCUUGCCAUCGGAUGUGCCCAGAUGGGAUUAGCUAGUAGGUGGGGUAACGGCUCACC